AAUAUUGGACAAUGGGGGCAACCCUGAUCCAGCAACGCCGCGUGAGGGAUGAAGGUCUUUGGAUUGUAAACCUCUUUUCUCAGGGAAGAGCGAGGACGGUACCUGAGGAAUAAGUCACGGCUAACUACGUGCCAGCAGCCGCGGUAAUACGUAGGGGGCAAGCGUUGUCCGGAAUUAUUGGGCGUAAAGGGUGCGUAGGCGGCCUUUUAAGUCAGGUGUGAAAGCCCACGGCUUAACCGUGGGAUUGCAUUUGAAACUGGAAGGCUUGAGUAUCGGAGAGGGUAGUGGAAUUCCCAGUGUAGCGGUGGAAUGCGUAGAUAUUGGGAGGAACACCAGUGGCGAAGGCGACUACCUGGACGAAAACUGACGCUGAGGCACGAAAGCUAGGGGAGCAAAC
RNAcentral lists this ribosomal RNA (397 nucleotides) under uncultured bacterium. RNAcentral describes it as "partial 16S ribosomal RNA". It matches the Rfam family "Bacterial small subunit ribosomal RNA", at positions 360 to 773 of the family's 1533-position model. The record is from RNAcentral.